CAGUAGCCACGGUAAUACGAAGGGUGCAAGCGUUACUCGGAAUUACUGGGCGUAAAGCGUGCGUAGGUGGUGGUUUAAGUCCGUUGUGAAAGCCCUGGGCUCAACCUGGGAAUUGCAGUGGAUACUGGGUCACUAGAGUGUGGUAGAGGAUAGUGGAAUUUCCGGUGUAGCAGUGAAAUGCGUAGAGAUCGGAAGGAACAUCUGUGGCGAAGGCGACUAUCUGGGCCAACACUGACACUGAGGCACGAAAGCGUGGGGAGCAAACAGGAUUAGAGACCCCGGUAGUCCCUGUCUCUUAUAA
This 301-nucleotide ribosomal RNA is filed under the name uncultured bacterium. Its description in RNAcentral is "partial 16S ribosomal RNA". It matches the Rfam family "Bacterial small subunit ribosomal RNA", at positions 509 to 809 of the family's 1533-position model. The record is from RNAcentral.